Long non-coding RNA from Malania oleifera, 741 nucleotides. RefSeq lists it as uncharacterized. The record is from RefSeq and is a predicted model, not a curated record. The transcript is spliced from 2 exons. NCBI's taxonomy places the organism in Eukaryota, Viridiplantae, Streptophyta, Magnoliopsida, Santalales, Ximeniaceae.
ACAUAGCAGUAGGUUUUACGGCUAGAAUUCUAUGACGCCAUUGAAGGAGUCUCUCUCCCAUUUUGUCUUCUUCAUUUCGAUCCUUUGCGCCGAAAUUCAAAUUCUGCGGACCGCAGCACCUGUAAGGCUGUAACAUAGCAUGGCGUACGUCUCCUUUUACCGAAACUAUGGGAUAAAAUUUCAAGAAGCCUUACGAGAAGGAGCUUUUUGAUGCUGAGCUAAGGCUUGUGGGAGAGUAUGACUCUAGUUUAAGAGGUUGUUGUGGAGGGCUCAUAGGCCCUUAGCCAUAUCCACAAUGCAGCAAGAAUGCUUCUUACCCUUGAUGAGAAGAACCCACGGAUAUUUUUUAAUGAGAAGCACUUUUUAGGAGGAUUAACAGGUAUAAUAGUCUCUUUGUAUGAGAGCUAGAAGAAUCUCGAUUACAUGCUGGUGCUUACUUUGUAGAACCUGCUUGAGCGCUCUCUUCAAACUCUCAUGUUCAAAUCUGGUGUGGCCAAGUCAACUCACAAUGCUAGAGCGCUCAUCGGGCAAAGACUUAUUAGGUAUUAAUAAUGAGUUAUCCUUCCUAUGAAAGAAGUUACUCUCUGUUUUACUUCUAUAUUCUUAUCAUGUUUUUUUCUUUUUGUACAUUGUUUAUUUAUUUUUAUGCAUAGGUAUAGUUACUAUUUAGUCCUCAUUGACAGGUUAUUAAUUCUUGAGUUCUUGGAUUUUCACUUUCUUAAUUAAUUUUCUCUUGAGUUA